Molecule: long non-coding RNA, 949 nt
Filed under: Medicago truncatula (barrel medic)
Lineage: Eukaryota; Viridiplantae; Streptophyta; Magnoliopsida; Fabales; Fabaceae
Description: lncRNA gene19538
Source: RNAcentral
UUUCAGAUCUCCCCUACCAAUCAUCGAUCUACUGUGGUACAAGCUCCUCUUUUUCAGAUCCGGCUUUGGGUCCGCAAAAGGGUGGUUGACUCGUUUUUGGUUUCCUCUAGUUUUGUUCUUGCAAGAAUGGUGGGUGUUCACGCACGUCGAUUGACAGUGGUGGUGGUCCGUGGUCGGGAGAUGGUUUGUUUCGGGAUUGAGUUGUUGUGCUUGGUUGGUGUUAAGCUCCCUCAUGUGGUUUUUGUUGCUCGUCGGUUGUGUUUGUUUCUUCAGUUGCUAGUUGUUUGUUGGAGGGCCUUUAUGUCUUGUUCGUCGGUAGUUUCUCACCGUUUGGCAUACUCAUAUCCGUUCUUUCAGGUUUGAGUGGGUGUUCUCCGUUGUCGUUCCAGUGCACUUUGUGUGUUUUGUUUUGUUUGAUGGUCACCAGAUGUUUGUUUGUGUUUGUUUUGUGGGUUUCGGACGACUGUUCUGUUGUUCGAAAUGAGAUCGGGAGAUUUAGACUUACUCAUUUUGUAAUGGUUGCGCGUUUGUGACUCAAAAAUUCGAAAGGGUCUGGUUUUGUUAAUCCGAAUGGGUCUGGUUUCUAAUACUCAUCAUUCGAUCUGAGUUCUUAUACGUUAAAAUCGGCUGUGUUUGGUGGCAUACUUCUUCGACUCUCUGAUGUUUCUAAAUCUGUUGAGAUUUGUAGGUUUCAAGUCCUCUUGUCUGCCUACACGUUGCUUCUCCGUGCUCGAAAGAGCUUUUUGCUUGCUGCUUUGUUCAGGGAGUUUUUGCCACUUGGAUCUUGAUAUCGUACUGGUGUUUGAUCCAUUCGCCGAAAUUAAACCCUAACUGUUCUUCGCAAUGUUCACUUUUCAUAUUUUUGUAACCUGGUUUCGUGCUCGUACGCCGGUUCACUGGGUUACGUCCGUGAUUAGUGAAUUCUUGUUAAGAUAGAUUAUGGUUGAUC